Molecule: long non-coding RNA, 1256 nt
Organism: Peromyscus eremicus (cactus mouse)
Lineage: Eukaryota; Metazoa; Chordata; Mammalia; Rodentia; Cricetidae
Exons: 5
Source: RefSeq, a predicted model, not a curated record
CAUUUACUGAACUUGUACUGUGUUUCUCCCCAGUGUGAAUCCAUUGGUGCCCCUUGAGACGAAACCUGUGGCUCAAGGCUUCCCUAAACUCAAGACAAUCGAAGGACGUCUCUCAAGUGGACGAUGCAGCACUGAGUGAGGUCUGCACUCUCACAAAAUGCUGCCAGCAUUCCCUACAUUAGAAAGAGCCUCACUAUUUAGCCCUGGCUGUCCUGGAACUCACUGUGUAGACCAGGUUGGCUUCAAGCUCACAGAGACCUGCCUACUUUUGCCUCUCCAGUGCUGGGAUUAAAGCCCUUUGAAGAUUUUGCUUCUGGCAUGAGCAGUCAAGCACCUGCUGGUGAUGCUAAUAAUGGAAACCCGUAGCCACUGCUCAGCAGAGUGGGAAAGCUGUGGAAUGCUUUAAAAAUAUUUAUUGGCCGUUUGUGCUUCUUUUAUUGAGAACUGUCUGUUCAGUUCAUUUGUUUGUUUAUUGACUGGUUGUAUUCUGAACCAGGAGAUAAUAACUACAAGGUCAGGAGAAGAUGUGAUGGCUUAUCUUGGUUACCAACGUUUCUUCAUGUGGAAUCAACUGAAACUCGAGCUGCUGGACAUCCGUUUCCACAGGAUGCAGGCGGCCAUGAUGACCAGGAAGAUGGCCAGGAGUGCCACAAAGCCAGGGAGGAUGCUGCUGCUCUGGCCUUUCUCUCUAGGAGGAAAACCGGGUGGUCAUGCCCCAGCUGGCCAUAGGAUCUGGGCUUGGGAAAUGCUGGAGAAGACAUUUCUUUCAGGAGAUAGAGCCCCAGUGAUACCAGGUAGGCAAAGAGUUAAAUAUGAGGACAUGGAGGCAAACCACAAUUGGAUCUCGGCUAAUUCCCCCGAUGGCCUCUUUGUGGUUAAACAUCCUUGAAGUUGAAGUCAAGUUGUUCCUGCUCUAUCAGAAACCAAGACACCCAGGUGUUUUUCUAUAUACGUGCACUCAAAAGACCAAUGUUAUUGUAUCACUUUGCGUUAUGGUUUUGACAUCUCCACCCUUGGGAGGGAUCAUGAGAAAAAAUACUCUAAAAGGGAGAUGUGGCCCACCCUGAUUUGGGAAGAGAAGAGGGACACCUUACUCUGUGACAAAGCCAUCUACCUCAUACGUGUUUGUAAAAGCUCCUUCUAAAUAGACAACGCAGUACUCAUUGAGCUGUUCCUUGCCUUGAGGCACUCACCCCACUCUCUCUUUGGAGUGUUUACUUUGCUUGCCUUUGCGAAAUAAACUUUGGUUUAAAUUG